GAUGAAGAACGUAGCGAAAUGCGAUAAGUAAUGUGAAUUGCAGAAUUCAGUGAAUCAUCGAAUCUUUGAACGCACAUUGCGCCCGCCAGUAUUCUGGCGGGCAUGCCUGUUCGAGCGUCAUUACAACCCUCAGGCCCCCGGGCCUGGCGUUGGGGAUCGGCGAGGCGCCCCCCGCGGGCACGCGCCGUCCCCCAAAUACAGUGGCGGUCCCGCCGCAGCUUCCAUUGCGUAGUAGCUAACACCUCGCAACUGGAGAGCGGCGCGGCCAUGCCGUAAAACACCCAACUUCUGAAUGUUGACCUCGAAUCAGGUAGGAAUACCCGCUGAACUUAAGCAUAUCAAAAGCGGAGGA
This 352-nucleotide unclassified non-coding RNA is filed under the name soil metagenome. Its description in RNAcentral is "partial contains 5.8S ribosomal RNA, internal transcribed spacer 2, and large subunit ribosomal RNA". The stretch from base 1 to 120 matches the Rfam family "5.8S ribosomal RNA", at positions 35 to 154 of the family's 154-position model. The record is from RNAcentral.